GAUGAACGCUGGCGGCGUGCCUAAUACAUGCAAGUCGAGCGAACGGACGAGAAGCUUGCUUCUCUGAUGUUAGCGGCGGACGGGUGAGUAACACGUGGAUAACCUACCUAUAAGACUGGGAUAACUUCGGGAAACCGGAGCUAAUACCGGAUAAUAUUUUGAACCGCAUGGUUCAAAAGUGAAAGACGGUCUUGCUGUCACUUAUAGAUGGAUCCGCGCUGCAUUAGCUAGUUGGUAAGGUAACGGCUUACCAAGGCAACGAUGCAUAGCCGACCUGAGAGGGGGAGCGGCCACACUGGCACUGAGACACGGUCCAGACUCCGACGGGAGGCAGCACGAGGGAAUAUUCAGCAAUGUGCUAAAGUCUGACGGAGUAACUACGAGGGAAUGAUGAAGGUAUACGGAUCGGAAAACUCUGUUAUUAGGGAAGAACAAAUGUGUAAGGAAAUAUGCACGUCUGGACGGGAACUAAUCAGAAAGCCACGGCUAACUACGUG
Molecule: ribosomal RNA, 497 nt
Filed under: uncultured bacterium
Lineage: Bacteria
Description: partial 16S ribosomal RNA
Rfam family: Bacterial small subunit ribosomal RNA
Source: RNAcentral